Long non-coding RNA from Entelurus aequoreus (snake pipefish), 811 nucleotides. RefSeq lists it as uncharacterized. Lineage: Eukaryota; Metazoa; Chordata; Actinopteri; Syngnathiformes; Syngnathidae. The record is from RefSeq and is a predicted model, not a curated record. The transcript has 4 exons.
GAUAGUUUAGCGGAGAAACAUCUUGAGGUUAUUGCUUCAAUUGAGAAAAGUGUACGACCUAAGUCGUCAAAAGUGUGGGAACACUUCACUUUAAAGACUUCAAAGAAGACCGUUUCCUGCAAAAUGGCACGGAAGUACAACAUUGCUUCAGGAGCACCUGAAGAAGAAAAAUGUUGGAGCCAUGGAUGAAGGGAAGAACUCACAGUUUGCUCAUUGCAGGAUCUGAGUGUUGAAAAUGGACUUCCUGUUUCGUUCCUUGAACCGGAAGUCAAACCAUCCGUCGCGUUUCUGCUCGAAAGGAUUCUUCAUUCGUCACUCCAAGCAUCGUUUAGAGCUAGCUUCCGCAGCUAGUGGGUCCACGAGGAUGACUUCUGUUUUGUUUGAUCAUCCGUUUUACUGCCGUGUUACAGGAACCGUUUGGAAACAAGUAAGUCGUCCAUUGGACUCCCUCUCCUCCGCCAGCUCCCGCUGAGUGUGACGCAGCUGUGUGUCUCUUCGGCUGGCCUCUUCCUCCGUCUCGUUGAGCUGCCGCUUCAGAGUGCGGAUCCUCUGGGCCAUCUGCGAGGACCAAUCAGAGAGCAGUUAGGCACGCGCCAAUCCGUUCUAAGUGAGUAGUCGUUGGAAAGUUACCAGGUCCUUCUGCUCAGUGGCUAUCCUGUGCUCCUCCUCCAUCUGAUCGCCCAGUUCAUUGAUCCUCCUCUCCAGUUUGCCAAUGCUGUUGUUAAGGAGAGCUUUACUCCUGCGUAAAUACACAAGGGGAUCAAUUUAAAAGGUAGCCAUGUUGCUUGUUUCAACAAUAAAAAACAUAGAA